Molecule: long non-coding RNA, 396 nt
Filed under: Lupinus angustifolius (narrow-leaved blue lupine)
Lineage: Eukaryota; Viridiplantae; Streptophyta; Magnoliopsida; Fabales; Fabaceae
Description: long non-coding RNA (LANG_LNC000314)
Source: RNAcentral
UUUUUUCUUCUCUUGUACACCAUAAUGAAUUUAAAGCCAAAGCAAAGAUAAAUCAUUGCACCUGUUCUUGUUUGUGAUGGUGAGUAACGACAGUGAGGUUGAGUAGCAACAACGAUGAUGAGUAGCAAUGAUUUCUAUUCGUGAGUACUGAGUUCUUCGAUUUCUGUUCUAGUGGUGACGACAAAGGUGAGUAGCAGCAAGGGGCGAUGGUGAUGCGGCAAGGGGUGAUGGUGAUGCGGCGAGGGGCAAUAGUGAUGCGGCGAGGGGUGAUGGCUGGGUGUUGAUGCUGCGGUUUCUAUACAGUUAGGAUCGGAUUAGGAAUGGGUGUUGUUGUUUGUUGUUAACUUGGGACAACCACUAGGUUAUUUUGUGAUUUAGGUUUGGCCAGCGAUUUAG